RNAcentral lists this ribosomal RNA (253 nucleotides) under uncultured bacterium. Its description in RNAcentral is "partial 16S ribosomal RNA". It matches the Rfam family "Bacterial small subunit ribosomal RNA", at positions 524 to 776 of the family's 1533-position model. The record is from RNAcentral.
UACGAAGGGGGCUAGCGUUGUUCGGAAUUACUGGGCGUAAAGCGUGCGCAGGCGGCUUCUCAAGUCAGGGGUGAAAGCCCAGAGCUCAACUCUGGAAUUGCCUUUGAGACUGAGUGGCUUGAGUACGGGAGAGGUGAGUGGAAUUCCCAGUGUAGAGGUGAAAUUCGUAGAGAUGUGGAGGAACACCGAUGGCGAAGGCAGCCUCCUGGGCCGACACUGACGCUGAUGCACGAAAGCGUGGGGAGCAAACAGG